Molecule: transfer RNA, 71 nt
Filed under: Echiichthys vipera (lesser weever)
Lineage: Eukaryota; Metazoa; Chordata; Actinopteri; Perciformes; Trachinidae
Description: tRNA-Tyr
Rfam family: tRNA
About the family: Transfer RNA (tRNA) molecules are approximately 80 nucleotides in length. Their secondary structure includes four short double-helical elements and three loops (D, anti-codon, and T loops). Further hydrogen bonds mediate the characteristic L-shaped molecular structure. tRNAs have two regions of fundamental functional importance: the anti-codon, which is responsible for specific mRNA codon recognition, and the 3' end, to which the tRNAs corresponding amino acid is attached (by aminoacyl-tRNA synthetases). tRNAs cope with the degeneracy of the genetic code in two manners: having more than one tRNA (with a specific anti-codon) for a particular amino acid; and 'wobble' base-pairing, i.e. permitting non-standard base-pairing at the 3rd anti-codon position.
Source: RNAcentral
GGUAAGAUGGCUGAGUGUGCAAGUGCUGGGUUGUAGCCCCAUGAACAGAGGUUUAAAUCCUUUUCUUAUCA